AGAGGUGGCAGCUGUAGCGGAGCAGUGUGGUUGUGUGUGUCUGCGGAUCCGCCGCUCUAACUGCGGACAGUUUGCUAAGCCCGUUAGUGCCCUCGGCCGAGACUCACGCCGCAGUCAUGUCCCGCUACCUGCGGCCCCCCAACACGUCUCUGUUUGUCAGGAACGUGGCGGACGACACCAGGUCUGAAGAUUUACGGCGUGAAUUUGGUCGUUAUGGUCCUAUAGUUGAUGUGUAUGUUCCACUUGAUUUCUACACUCGCCGUCCAAGAGGAUUUGCUUAUGUUCAAUUUGAGGAUGUUCGUGAUGCUGAAGAUGCUUUGCAUAAUUUGGACAGAAAAUGGAUUUGUGGACGUCAAAUUGAAAUACAGUUUGCACAGGGGGAUCGGAAGACACCAAAUCAGAUGAAAGCCAAGGAAGGAAGGAAUGUGUACAGUUCUUCCCGUUAUGAUGAUUAUGAUAGAUACAGACGGUCUAGAAGCCGAAGUUAUGAAAGAAGGAGAUCAAGAAGUCGGUCUUUUGAUUACAACUAUAGAAGAUCUUAUAGUCCUAGAAACAGUAGACCGACUGGAAGACCACGGCGUAGCAGAAGCCAUUCCGACAAUGAUAGACCAAACUGCAGCUGGAAUACCCAGUACAGUUCUGCUUACUACACUUGAAGAAAGAUCUGAAAGCGGAAAAAGAACCAAAGAAGGGCAGUUCAAGCGACCAAAGGGUGGGUGGAAGGUGCUGCAGUAUGAAUACUGUACGAAUAUUUUGACUCUGGUCUGAAAAGAUAAAAGAAUGUUAUCGAAAACUACAUGGAAUAAUUGAAGUCCCUUCAAGUUUGAAAGUAAGCAUUUUAGGACAAAUAAAAGGAAAUUCAACUUUGUACUUGUGGAAACUAAUCCCUAAAUAUGAAUAGGUUUAUAUUGAUUCAUGGGUAACAGGUCCAAAAUAAAUUAUUGGAAACUAGGAUGUCUGGAUAUCAAGGAAGACAGCCAUAGUCUCUUACAGUGCCUCUAUUGGUCUGUCUCAAACUGAAUUGGGUGGGGAAAGGUGUGGUCCAAUAUAAACUUCCUUGGUUAUCUCUUAAAAGUCAGUUCCAUUUUCACCAUUAUUGGCAAAUCUUGCCUUUAUAUUGGUGCCAGUGUUUUUGCUUAAUCGUUUGCUUUGUUGGCAUCUGAGUUUACUUGUAUGCCACAUACAGUUUACAUCUUCUUUUACUCUUUCCCAGGUAAAUUCCAAUUAUACUUGACAUCCAGCUAAGAGGGCCCAUCUCUUCUCAGUUCUUUCCUAGUCAGUAUGUUUAGCAAAUAUUUAUUGAGCCCUUACUGUGGGCAAAACAUUGUACUGGAUAAUUGGGGAGAAAAAUAGAUAAUUCCCUUAUUCAAUAAAUGUCUACUGAGCACAAUCUAGUGAAUCA
Microcebus murinus (gray mouse lemur) is the source of this 1402-nucleotide non-coding RNA. Lineage: Eukaryota; Metazoa; Chordata; Mammalia; Primates; Cheirogaleidae. The record is from RefSeq and is a predicted model, not a curated record.